This is a long non-coding RNA of Saccostrea cuccullata (small rock oyster), 340 nucleotides long. RefSeq lists it as uncharacterized. Lineage: Eukaryota; Metazoa; Mollusca; Bivalvia; Ostreida; Ostreidae. The transcript has 3 exons. The record is from RefSeq and is a predicted model, not a curated record.
ACACAUGGCUUUGUUUGUUAUGGAACAUUAAACAGAACACUGAAUGGGUAGGCGUUACGCCAUUGGCUGAAAUCAGCUUUCUUGGCCCCGGGAGGGUUCGGUCUCUGAUCAGCAGGGGCAUUUUCUCUAUAUAAGAAGAAAAUGGAGACUCCCUACCCACCCGAUGUAUUUUGUCGGACAGUUUUCUGUACAUUGCAGUCACCAAGAUAUCCAAAUAUCAUCACCGGCCCAGACGUCAUUCACUCCUUUGAACUGUGCUGGUAGCAGUAAGGUGUCAUCAUUUGAGAUGGUCACAGUAUCCAAUACACUGAAGUCACAGGACUCAAAUUUCAUACAUGUU